This 253-nucleotide ribosomal RNA is filed under the name uncultured bacterium. RNAcentral describes it as "partial 16S ribosomal RNA". It matches the Rfam family "Bacterial small subunit ribosomal RNA", at positions 524 to 776 of the family's 1533-position model. The record is from RNAcentral.
UACGUAGGGUGCAAGCGUUGUCCGGAAUUAUUGGGCGUAAAGAGCUCGUAGGCGGUUUGUCGCGUCUGCUGUGAAAACCCGAGGCUCAACCUCGGGCCUGCAGUGGGUACGGGCAGACUAGAGUGCGGUAGGGGAGAUUGGAAUUCCUGGUGUAGCGGUGGAAUGCGCAGAUAUCAGGAGGAACACCGGUGGCGAAGGCGGGUCUCUGGGCCGAUACUGACGCUGAGGAGCGAAAGCGUGGGGAGCGAUCCGG